UGGCUCGAACCGAUCACACUGAACCGGAAUCUACGGUCACUGCUCAACUUAGGCGGGAAAGGGACCAAGGGGGUUCUUCUUGAACCCCAUCCCUCUCGAUCGAUCGCGUCGGUUCACCUUCUCUGAUGGCAUCGCUUUCUCAAGGCUCCGAUCUCUUCUUCUUCUGGGGCUGGUCGAUCAUGAGCCGUCCUGGUGUUCCGCAUCCUGGCGAUCCAUGGAAGGUAUUCCUUCGCUCAAGAUUUUGCUUCUUCGUUCCGUGUCUGUCGAUUUUGGGGACUUGGGGUUUUGUUCUUCUUCCUAUCGAGUAAUAUUGAUGUGUCGAGUGCUUGACGAUUUGUAGCAGCGAUUCUUAUCGGAAAUGUGUUGGGAUUGGUCGAGAAUUUCGAGCGCAAAUCUUUCUUGAACAUACGUGCCCUGGGUUUUCUUGUUCCUAACAACUUCUUGAGCGAAACCGAUCCUGGACGAAACCCUUUCUUGUACUCGAUUGCUGUCUAGAUCUCGACGAUUCGUAGCAGCGAUUCUUAUCGGAAACGUGUUGAGAUCGAUCGUUUCCAUUCUCUGUCCGAUUACUCAAAACGCAAACCGUCGUUGAUCAUACAUGUUCUUGGCUUGCUUGUUCCUAACAAGUUCUUGAGAAAAACUCAAUCCCCUUUUAGGUAAAUUUGGCGGACCCUUUCUUGUACUUGAUUGCUGUCGAGGGUUCAAGAAUUUGUAACAGCGAUCUUGAUCGGAAAUGUGUCGAAACCGAUCGAUAAUUUGUAGUAUUUAUUAUGGCGUGAUUAAUUUGACUGAAAGCAAACUUUCAUUGAUCAUGCAGGAUGUUGGCAUUUCAAGGGCUGGGUUUCUUUUUCCCGAUCCAAGCAGAGUACGCCAUCAAGGAGUUCGUCUCUCGCUAAUAAGGUUUACUUUCCCCUUUGUUCUCGAUCUUAAUAUGUACUGCAAUUGCAAACCUAGUUGUUCUUGUAAAUACUUCGAUGCCAUUCUAUUUACAUGAUUAUGUUCAUAUACUUAGCCAUCAAAUUAUAAGGAACUUUCAUUUAACCGUACUCCAACAUUUCCACAUUUCCGUACUGCAUUAGAUUUCAUUAUAUGAUAUCAUAAGAAGCUUAAAAUGCUUAGUCUAAUAAA
This 1128-nucleotide long non-coding RNA is filed under the name Musa acuminata (dwarf banana). RNAcentral's name for it is "long non-coding RNA (MACU_LNC005462)". Lineage: Eukaryota; Viridiplantae; Streptophyta; Magnoliopsida; Zingiberales; Musaceae. The record is from RNAcentral.